This 357-nucleotide ribosomal RNA is filed under the name uncultured Sphingobacteriales bacterium. RNAcentral describes it as "bacterial SSU rRNA". It matches the Rfam family "Bacterial small subunit ribosomal RNA", at positions 1024 to 1382 of the family's 1533-position model. Lineage: Bacteria; Pseudomonadati; Bacteroidota; Sphingobacteriia; Sphingobacteriales. The record is from RNAcentral.
AGCAUUUUACGUAGGUGCUGCAUGGUUGUCGUCAGCUCGUGCCGUGAGGUGUCGGGUUAAGUCCCAUAACGAGCGCAACCCCUACCUUAGUUGCCAUCAGGUAAUGCUGGGGACUCUAAAGGAACUGCCUACGCAAGUAGUGAGGAAGCGGGGAUGACGUCAAAUCAGCACGGCCCUUACGUCCAGGGCUACACACGUGCUACAAUGGCCGAUACAGAGGGCAGCUACCUGGUGACAGGAUGCAAAUCUCCAAAGUCGGUCUCAGUUCGGAUCGGAGUCUGCAACCCGACUCCGUGAAGUUGGAUUCGCUAGUAAUCGCGCACCAGCCAUGGCGCGGUGAAUACGUUCCCGGGCCUU